Molecule: ribosomal RNA, 253 nt
Filed under: uncultured bacterium
Lineage: Bacteria
Description: partial 16S ribosomal RNA
Rfam family: Bacterial small subunit ribosomal RNA
Source: RNAcentral
UACAGAGGUCCCGAGCGUUGUUCGGAUUCAUUGGGCGUAAAGGGCGCGUAGGCGGCCUUCUAAGUCAGACGUGAAAUCCCCCGGCUUAACCUGGGAACUGCGUCUGAUACUGGAGGGCUUGAGUGCGGGAGAGGGAUGUGGAAUUCCAGGUGUAGCGGUGAAAUGCGUAGAUAUCUGGAGGAACAUCGGUGGCGAAGGCGGCAUCCUGGACCGAUAUUGACGCUGAGGCGCGAAAGCCAGGGGAGCAAACGGG